This 791-nucleotide ribosomal RNA is filed under the name uncultured bacterium. RNAcentral's name for it is "bacterial SSU rRNA". It matches the Rfam family "Bacterial small subunit ribosomal RNA", at positions 8 to 796 of the family's 1533-position model. The record is from RNAcentral.
AGAGUUUGAUCAUGGCUCAGAUUGAACGCUGGCGGCAUGCCUUACACAUGCAAGUCGAACGGCAGCGCGGGGCAACCUGGCGGCGAGUGGCGAACGGGUGAGUAAUAUAUCGGAACGUGCCCUGGAGUGGGGGAUAACGCAGCGAAAGUUGCGCUAAUACCGCAUACGAUCUAAGGAUGAAAGCGGGGGAUUCGCAAGAACCUCGUGCUCCUGGAGCGGCCGAUAUCUGAUUAGCUAGUUGGUGGGGUAAAGGCCUACCAAGGCAUCGAUCAGUAGCUGGUCUGAGAGGACGACCAGCCACACUGGAACUGAGACACGGUCCAGACUCCUACGGGAGGCAGCAGUGGGGAAUUUUGGACAAUGGGCGAAAGCCUGAUCCAGCAAUGCCGCGUGAGUGAAGAAGGCCUUCGGGUUGUAAAGCUCUUUUGUCAGGGAAGAAACGGUGUGGGCUAAUAUCCUGCACUAAUGACGGUACCUGAAGAAUAAGCACCGGCUAACUACGUGCCAGCAGCCGCGGUAAUACGUAGGGUGCAAGCGUUAAUCGGAAUUACUGGGCGUAAAGCGUGCGCAGGCGGUUUUGUAAGUUUGUCGUGAAAGCCCCGGGCUCAACCUGGGAAUUGCGAUGAAGACUGCAAGGCUUGAAUCUGGCAGAGGGGGGUAGAAUUCCACGUAGCAGUGAAAUGCGUAGAGAUGUGGAGGAACACCGAUGGCGAAGGCAGCCCCCUGGGUCAAGAUUGACGCUCAUGCACGAAAGCGUGGGGAGCAAACAGGAUUAGAUACCCUAGUAGUCC